Molecule: ribosomal RNA, 360 nt
Filed under: uncultured bacterium
Lineage: Bacteria
Description: partial 16S ribosomal RNA
Rfam family: Bacterial small subunit ribosomal RNA
Source: RNAcentral
CCUACGGGUGGCAGCAGUGAGGAAUAUUGGUCAAUGGGCGCGAGCCUGAACCAGCCAAGUCGCGUGAGGGAAGACGGUCCUAUGGAUUGUAAACCCCUUUUGGCGGGGAGCAAAAGACGCCACUCGUGGCGUUCCGCGAGUACCCGAAGCAAAAGCAACGGCUAACUCCGUGCCAGCACCCGCGGUAAUACGGAGGAUGCGAUCGUUAUCGGGAUUGAUUGUGGUGAAAGGGUGAGCAGGCGGAAGAUAAGCUCAGCGGGAAAAUUGAGAGGCUAAACCUCUUCGAGCAGUUGAGACAGGUUUUCUUGAGUGAGUGAGAAGGAUGCGGAAUGCGUGGUGUAGCGGUGAAAUGCAUAGAUA